Molecule: long non-coding RNA, 1046 nt
Organism: Peromyscus maniculatus bairdii (prairie deer mouse)
Lineage: Eukaryota; Metazoa; Chordata; Mammalia; Rodentia; Cricetidae
Source: RefSeq, a predicted model, not a curated record
CUCACUAACUAAGGGAAGACUUUCUCCACUGAGUGGAUUUAUUUUCUUCCCUCCCGAGGUGCAAGCCGUAUGGGUCAGAAUAACUUACUCCAUUCUGCUGAAGAGGAAUUACGCCUGGACGGCUCCCCGAAGGACAAUCGCGGCCCCAGUCCAUAUGUAAAGCAGCCUCGGGAGCUCUGCUCCGCAGCUGCGCCCUAUUAUCACGACGGCGGCCGGCUGCCUUCGUCUUUAACUGUAAACGCUCCUGACAGCUCCAGUGGAGAUAAUUACGAUGCUUCAGGGAACUUUCGGCCUUGCUAAAAAUACUGCGCAACAGUUUGAGGCGAGGAAGAUGCUUAGGCGUGAUCUGGUAAAAACUCCCGGAGCUGGCGGCUGCAAGUUAUGGGUGGGAACCGCUUGGCUGCCUGGCCGCUGCCAUUUUCAUCCAUCGAAACCGGUUCUCAGUCUCACAGCUGGUCCUGGUCCUGGUCCUGCCCGACAGGAAAGAACAGAAAGGAGCGGAAACUAGUGGACUACAAGGAAGACAGAGAGUUGAAUGUGACACUCAGCAGUGUGCAUGACAUUGGCAGUCUGGACAAGAUCUGUGCUGUUGCAAUGGCUGGGGCAUCAAAGGAGGAAAGCAGGUGGCUUCGGGAACCAAGAAGGGGCUUCUGGGCUGCCCUGAGGAUCCAUCAAAGAGAACGAUCAGAAAGGUAGGUAGCUAAGACUCGUGGGCAAGUGGUGUGUUUCUGUCAGCAGCUGGAUACAGGAGUGAGGCAGAUGAAUAGUUGGGGUGGCUUGUGUCGGCUCGGAGGGCUGCUGGGGACCAUGGCGUUGAAGCAUGGAAAGGAAAGAAGGGACUGAAAAUCAGCUGUCCUCCCCGCCAGGAUGGGAGACUGACAGAGAGGUCUUAAUAGAAUGUAGCACCGAAGGAUAACUGGAGGGCUAGGAAUGUAGUACAGGUGGGGGUGUGUUUGCUGGGUACUCGCAAAGCCCUGGGUUUAAUCCCAGCCCUACAUAAAUCAGGGUGCUGGCACCUAUAAUCCUAGCACUUGGAAGGCAGAGGU